CUUCACCUGGGGAUUGCAAAGGAAGUGAGAACAUCCCUGAGCAAGACCAAAAAUUGCUGAAUAAACACAAACCCCCUUGAGAAUCACGCCAACAGGUGCUGCCUCUUCACCUGGGGAUUGCAAAGCCUCACCGCCAUGGACAGCGUGCCCCUCAUCUGUGACUACGGCUCUGGCUUCAGCAAGGUGGGAUUUGCAGGAAUGGAAAGCCCAAUGGGCGUGUUCCCCACUGUCCUCGGGAAACUUCAGCACGAUAAUGUAUUGCUGGGGAUGGAAGAGGAAGACUAGUUCAUUGGAGAGGAGGUUCAGAAAAAACGAGGGAAACUCAACCUGCAAUACCCCAUUUCUCGGGCAACAACAACCAACUGGGACAACAUGGAGAAGAUUUGGCAUCACUCCUUCUACCAGGUGCUCCACGUCGCCCCAGAGCAGCACCCCAUGUUGGUGACGGAGCCGCCUUUGAACACAACACCCAGCAAAGAGAAAGUCAC
Long non-coding RNA from Gorilla gorilla gorilla (western lowland gorilla), 488 nucleotides. RefSeq lists it as uncharacterized. NCBI's taxonomy places the organism in Eukaryota, Metazoa, Chordata, Mammalia, Primates, Hominidae. The transcript is spliced from 5 exons. The record is from RefSeq and is a predicted model, not a curated record.